UUAUACGAGGAUUGCAGAGAUGCGGCAAAGGCAAUCGGGGAAAAAGAGACCAAGAAUACUAUAUGAAGGGUUUGAAGAAGCUAGUAAGGAUUGUUAAUCUCAAGGAAGCUCACAAGAGAUUCCAAGGGAAAGUCCUGCCACAAGGGAUGAAAAAUAGUCCCACCACGUGUCAACAUGUUGCACAAGUUUUACAACCUAUAGGAGAAUGGACAGAAAGCUGGUUCCUACAGGAAGAGAAGAAGAUGAUGCUGAGUUACAGUGCCGAAGAUGGCUGGAGCAGAUGCUAAGGACCAAAGGAUUUCACUGACGAUGUUCCUUGCCAGACAGCUGUAUAAGAAAGGACUUUUUGAAUCUUAGAGACAAUUGCUUUUUGACUUUCUGUAUCUAUAUUCACAAAGGGGACUGCCCCCUUUGUUUUGUCAAUGAGUCAAUCAAUCCUUCCCAUAUUUACUUGAAAGGGGAUUACUAUGUAGAAGCUUGUCUCCCAUAUUCCCUAUUUCUUUGAAUCUACAAAUUUAUGGCAGAAUCAUAAUGUGACACGAGAUGUAAGUGCCAAGCCCCAGGAAUCGAUCCUGAAGGCAUCGCCAAAGAGUUAUUGCAACUCCUAAAACAGGUCAACCCGUUGAGCAACAUUGUUGCCACUUUCUUCCCUUGUUUGCCUUCCUAACACUAUUGUGUCUCACAGGACCCUGUUUUCUACAAGUCAUCAUUUGACUCAUUAUUAGCUUAAGCUCCAUUUUAAAAUAAUAGGGGGGAGAUGUAGAGGGCAAGCUCUGAGAAAGUCCAUUCUGGGAUAAGCUACAGGUCAGAGGCCUGUUCUUGCGCUUGGGCUGAUAACUUGGCAAGUGGGCUCUCCACCCCCCCCCCCCCCCAUACACGUGCUCUCUCCAAUACCCCUGUGGCACACAUAUGCUGAACACUACCUGUGGGCUAUUAACACAAUAUUGUUUACGGCAAAAAGGGGAACAAAAGCACGAGGAAGUCAUGUGUUAUGCAAAUGC
Long non-coding RNA from Trichosurus vulpecula (common brushtail), 1001 nucleotides. RefSeq lists it as uncharacterized. Lineage: Eukaryota; Metazoa; Chordata; Mammalia; Diprotodontia; Phalangeridae. The transcript has 3 exons. The record is from RefSeq and is a predicted model, not a curated record.